RNAcentral lists this ribosomal RNA (789 nucleotides) under uncultured archaeon. RNAcentral describes it as "bacterial SSU rRNA". It matches the Rfam family "Archaeal small subunit ribosomal RNA", at positions 85 to 876 of the family's 1478-position model. The record is from RNAcentral.
ACUGCUCAGUAACACGUGGUCAACCUAACUCGUGGACGUGGAUAACCUCGGGAAACUGAGAAUAAACCACGAUAGAUCAUAGUGCCUGGAAUGGCUUAUGGUCCAAACAGUUUACUGUCAUGGGAUGGGACUGCGGCCUAUCAGCUUGUUGGUGAGGUAAUGGCCCACCAAGGCGAUUACAGGUACGGGCUCUGAGAGGAGAAGUCCGGAGAUGGGUACUGAGACACGGACCCAGGCCCUAUGGGGCGCAGCAGGCGAGAAACCUUAGCAAUGUGCGAAAGCACGAUUGGGUCAGUCCGAGUGAUUCCUGAUAAAGGAGUCUUUUGCUUGUCCUAAAAGCACAGGUGAAUAAGGGGUGGGCAAGUCUGGUGUCAGCCGCCGCGGUAAUACCAGCACCUCGAGUGGUCAGGACGUUUAUCGGGCCUAAAGCAUCCGUAGCCGGCUCUGCAAGUCUUCGGUUAAAUCCACCUGCUCAACAGAUGGGCCGCUGGAGAUACUACAGAGCUAGGGAGUGGGAGAGGCAGACGGUAUUCAGUGGGUAGGGGUAAAAUCCUCUGAUCCAUUGAGGACCACCAGUGGCGAAGGCGGUCUGCCAGAACACGUUCGACGGUGAGGGAUGAAAGCUGGGGGAGCAAACCGGAUUAGAUACCCGGGUAGUCCCAGCUGUAAACGAUGCAAACUCGGUGAUGCAUUGGCUUAUGGCCAAUGCAGUGCCGCAGGGAAGCCGUUAAGUUUGCCGCCUGGGAAGUACGGACGCAAGUCUGAAACUUAAAGGAAUUGGCGGGGGAG